GAUGAACGCAGGCGGCGUGCCUAAUACAUGCAAGUAGAACGCUGAAGCUUGGUGCUUGCACCGAGCGGAAGAGUUGCGAACGGGUGAGUAACGCGUAGGUAACCUGCCUCUUAGCGGGGGAUAACUAUUGGAAACGAUAGCUAAUACCGCAUAAAAGUCGGCAUUGCAUGAUGUUGACUUGAAAGGUGCAACUGCAUCACUAAGAGAUGGACCUGCGUUGUAUUAGCUAGUUGGUGAGGUAACGGCUCACCAAGGCGACGAUACAUAGCCGACCUGAGAGGGUGAUCGGCCACACUGGGACUGAGACACGGCCCAGACUCCUACGGGAGGCAGCAGUAGGGAAUCUUCGGCAAUGGACGGAAGUCUGACCGAGCAACGCCGCGUGAGUGAAGAAGGUUUUCGGAUCGUAAAGCUCUGUUGUAAGAGAAGAACGAGUGUGAGAGUGGAAAGUUCACACUGUGACGGUAACUUACCAGAAAGGGACGGCUAACUACGUGCCAGCAGCCGCGGUAAUACGUAGGUCCCGAGCGUUAUCCGGAUUUAUUGGGCGUAAAGCGAGCGCAGGCGGUUAGAUAAGUCUGAAGUUAAAGGCUGUGGCUUAACCAUAGUACGCUUUGGAAACUGUUUAACUUGAGUGCAGAAGGGGAGAGUGGAAUUCCAUGUGUAGCGGUGAAAUGCGUAGAUAUAUGGAGGAACACCGGUGGCGAAAGCGGCUCUCUGGUCUGUAACUGACGCUGAGGCUCGAAAGCGUGGGGAGCAAACAGG
This 765-nucleotide ribosomal RNA is filed under the name uncultured Streptococcus sp. RNAcentral's name for it is "bacterial SSU rRNA". It matches the Rfam family "Bacterial small subunit ribosomal RNA", at positions 28 to 776 of the family's 1533-position model. Lineage: Bacteria; Bacillati; Bacillota; Bacilli; Lactobacillales; Streptococcaceae. The record is from RNAcentral.